AGUGAACGCUGGCGGUAGGCCUAACACAUGCAAGUCGAACGGCAGCACAGUAAGAGCUUGCUCUUUCUGGUGGCGAGUGGCGGACUGGUUCGGAAUACAUCGGAAUCUACUUUUUCGUGGGGGAUAACGUAGGGAAACUUACGCUAAUACCGCAUACGACCUACGGGUGAAAGCAGGGGAUCUUCGGACCUUGCGCGAUUGAAUGAGCCGAUGUCGGAUUAGCUAGUUGGCGGGGUAAAGGCCCACCAAGGCGACGAUCCGUAGCUGGUCUGAGAGGAUGAUCAGCCACACUGGAACUGAGACACGGUCCAGACUCCUACGGGAGGCAGCAGUGGGGAAUAUUGGACAAUGGGCGCAAGCCUGAUCCAGCAAUACCGCGUGGGUGAAGAAGGCCUUCGGGUUGUAAAGCCCUUUUGUUGGGAAAGAAAAGCAGCAGGUUAAUACCCCGCUGUUCUGACGGUACCGAAAGAAUAAGCACCGGCUAACUUCGUG
Molecule: ribosomal RNA, 492 nt
Filed under: uncultured bacterium
Lineage: Bacteria
Description: partial 16S ribosomal RNA
Rfam family: Bacterial small subunit ribosomal RNA
Source: RNAcentral